This is an RNA transcript of Ooceraea biroi (clonal raider ant), 1278 nucleotides long. It is a transcript of the gene named type-1 angiotensin II receptor-associated protein, with no coding region annotated. NCBI's taxonomy places the organism in Eukaryota, Metazoa, Arthropoda, Insecta, Hymenoptera, Formicidae. The record is from RefSeq and is a predicted model, not a curated record.
UUUACAAUACCGCGUUUAAUAAAGGACUUGUGACAAAUUAGAGAAAAUCUUUUUGACACGAAAUGAAAAGUUUGAUUUUCAUGACAAUUCUUGAUUUCUAAAUAACGUUGCUCAACAGUAAUUCUCUUAGCCAGAUGAAAGAUGCUCUCUUUCUUAAACUUGGACGUUUCUAUAACGUUUCGAUAUAACGUCAGAUGAAAAAUAAACGAAAAAAGUGAAAUAUCCUUAAGGGCUCUGAAAUGCUUCGAGUCGACUCUGGCAACUGCGACGCGACGUGUUGUGACUGUGAGUGCCGAGUGGCAGGCUGGCAGACCGAUGAUGUCAACUUUCCAGCAUUGUACGAUGUACAUUGUGCAGUAAACGUAAAUUUUAUGCUGUUGGUGGAUUAAAACUGUAGGCGGGAAAAAAGAUUAGAUAGCUUCCUAUCGGUAGAGAGAUAUUUUUCAGCGUGUUUCGAUUAAUUAGCCGUUGAAUUUUGCAAUUCAUAGCACGGUGACAACUGUCACGCUCACGCAACAAAGAUGCCUAAUUUGAGCAAUCUAUCCCAUUUUCCCUUAAAGAUGAUAUUUACAAUUCACUUGAUAUUCAUAACAUGGGGUGUUCAAGGAAGUUGGUGUCCAAAAUCUGUAGUAUUUUAUAACUUUCUAUUCUUUGUUUGUAUAUUAUGGGCAGUUCAUAAUAUCGAGUCAGACGAACCACUUCAAUUUGCACUUGUCAUAAAUGUGCUCUCUAUAUUCCUCGACGUGGUCGUUUUAGCAGUGUAUUACCCGACAGAGGGAUACAGUGCAUCCGAUAAGUUUAGUGCGGCAUUUAUGAUUAUAAACUUGAUCGUCCGUCCUAUCUCGAGUAUGUACCUUCUGCGAAUAGGCCAGGAAAGAGGUGGUACUUUAGCCACAGUGUUCACACCGAGUCCAGCAAUGGGUCAGUAAAUCACUGGAUAAGCAUCCAUGCUUUUGUAGUCAAUGCUGCAAAUGUCAAGAUUGAUUUGAAAGUUUUGGCCGAAAGGAUUAUGAAGACAUAUCUCAUCCUAUUCCACAGAAUUCUGAUUUUGAAGGGGUUUAGAUAGGGGUUUAGAGAGCAGAGUUUUCAAGUCAUGUAACAUACAUAUGUGACAUGAUUGAUUGCAAACAUAUGUUGAACGUCUUGUUUAUAUUAACCAAUUAACUAGAGAUUAUAUAUAUAUUUUUUUUUUUCCAAUUUACUGACAAGUGUUUGUUUUCUGGUCAAGCGUUUUGCAAUGUAUUUGAUAUUGAUGUACAUAUAUACAUAACUCUAGCA